This 254-nucleotide ribosomal RNA is filed under the name uncultured bacterium. Its description in RNAcentral is "partial 16S ribosomal RNA". It matches the Rfam family "Bacterial small subunit ribosomal RNA", at positions 524 to 776 of the family's 1533-position model. The record is from RNAcentral.
UACGGGGGGAGCAAGCGUUGUUCGGAUUUACUGGGCGUAAAGGGCGCGUAGGCGGCCACCGCAAGUCGACUGUGAAAUCUCCGGGCUUAACCCGGAAAGGUCAGCCGAUACUGCGGGGCUAGAGUGCAGAAGGGGCAACUGGAAUUCUCGGUGUAGCGGUGAAAUGCGUAGAUAUCGAGAGGAACACAUGCGGCGAAGGCGGGUUGCUGGGCUGACACUGACGCUGAUGCGCGAAAGCUAGGGGAGCGAACGGG